GAUCAUGGCUCAGGAUGAACGCUGGCGGCGUGCCUAACACAUGCAAGUCGAACGAAGCUUGACGGAUGAUUUCUUCGGAAUGAAACCAGAUAUGACUUAGUGGCGGACGGGUGAGUAACACGUGAGCAACCUGCCUUUCAGAGGGGGAUAACGGCUGGAAGCGGUCGCUAAUACCGCAUGAUGUGUUCGGAUGGCAUCAUCUGAACAUAACGAAUUAUU
This 219-nucleotide ribosomal RNA is filed under the name uncultured bacterium. Its description in RNAcentral is "partial 16S ribosomal RNA". It matches the Rfam family "Bacterial small subunit ribosomal RNA", at positions 15 to 213 of the family's 1533-position model. The record is from RNAcentral.